This 25-nucleotide unclassified non-coding RNA is filed under the name Mus musculus (house mouse). RNAcentral describes it as "oocyte_clustered_small_RNA10640". The record is from RNAcentral. Lineage: Eukaryota; Metazoa; Chordata; Mammalia; Rodentia; Muridae.
UCCUCUUGGCCAGAGGUCAGCUGCU